This 497-nucleotide ribosomal RNA is filed under the name uncultured bacterium. RNAcentral's name for it is "partial 16S ribosomal RNA". It matches the Rfam family "Bacterial small subunit ribosomal RNA", at positions 28 to 507 of the family's 1533-position model. The record is from RNAcentral.
GAUGAACGCUGGCGGCGUGCCUAAUACAUGCAAGUCGAGCGAACAGAUGAGGAGCUUGCUCCUCUGACGUUAGCGGCGGACGGGUGAGUAACACGUGGAUAACCUACCUAUAAGACUGGGAUAACUUCGGGAAACCGGAGCUAAUACCGGAUAAUAUAUUGAACCGCAUGGUUCAAUAGUGAAAAACGGUUUUGCUGUCACUUAUAGAUGGAUCCGCGCCGCAUUAGCUAGUUGGUAAGGUAACGGCUUACCAAGGCAACGAUGCGUAGCCGACCUGAGAGGGUGAUCGGCCACACUGGAACUGAGACACGGUCCAGACUCCUACGGGAGGCAGCAGUAGGGAAUCUUCCGCAAUGGGCGAAAGCCUGACGGAGCAACGCCGCGUGAGUGAUGAAGGUCUUCGGAUCGUAAAACUCUGUUAUUAGGGAAGAACAAAUGUGUAAGUAACUAUGCACGUCUUGACGGUACCUAAUCAGAAAGCCACGGCUAACUACGUG